GGAUGGGCCUGCGGCGCAUUAGGUAGUUGGUGAGGUAACGGCUCACCAAGGCGACGAUGCGUAGCCGACCUGAGAGGGUGAUCGGCCACACUGGGACUGAGACACGGCCCAGACUCCUACGGGAGGCAGCAGUAGGGAAUCUUCCGCAAUGGGCGAAAGCCUGACGGAGCAAUGCCGCGUGAGUGAUGAAGGUUUUCGGAUUUGUAAAGCUCUGUUGCCAGGGAAGAACGCUUGGGAGAGUAACUGCUCCACAAAGGUGAC
RNAcentral lists this ribosomal RNA (261 nucleotides) under Paenibacillus sp. GR1-8. Its description in RNAcentral is "partial 16S ribosomal RNA". It matches the Rfam family "Bacterial small subunit ribosomal RNA", at positions 223 to 473 of the family's 1533-position model. Lineage: Bacteria; Bacillati; Bacillota; Bacilli; Caryophanales; Paenibacillaceae. The record is from RNAcentral.